GGAGAGGUGUCCGAGUUGGUCGAAGGAGCGCGCCUGGAAAGUGCGUAGGCCCCAAAAGGGUCUCCAGGGUUCGAAUCCCUGCCUCUCCG
RNAcentral lists this transfer RNA (89 nucleotides) under Candidatus Zixiibacteriota bacterium. RNAcentral's name for it is "tRNA-Ser". It matches the Rfam family "tRNA". From Rfam's summary of the family: Transfer RNA (tRNA) molecules are approximately 80 nucleotides in length. Lineage: Bacteria; Pseudomonadati; Candidatus Zixiibacteriota. The record is from RNAcentral.